Chrysemys picta bellii (western painted turtle) is the source of this 4919-nucleotide non-coding RNA. Lineage: Eukaryota; Metazoa; Chordata; Testudines; Emydidae. The record is from RefSeq and is a predicted model, not a curated record.
AAUCAGUUGUUUUAAUUGUCAUAUUUGAAUUCAGCACAUCAAAAUACAUAAUAAAUAGCACAUUUUAUCUCUGAAGCAGACGACAUCUCAAAAAUUGUAGACCAGUGUAGUCUGUAUUUGUGAUGUCUUAAUCUUAGAAAUCUGCAGGGCUUCUACUUGGAGUUCUGUUCUCACACAGCAUAUCCCUCAACUUGGCAUCUAGCUCUGUUGCUCAUUUUUGGAGAGCAAUUCUGCAGAACUUGUUCCAGAAGCUCUCUGCCCAUCUUCCUGGGUAUUAGAAAGCAGCACAAGUAAAGAAUAUGCAGAUGCUAGCUACAAGAGGAAAGAUUAGUAAUAAUUGCGUCUGUUAGAUAGUGUUGUCUCUGUCUAUUUAGGCUAACCACCCAGCUUUCCCUUUUCUGAGUUCUAGCCUUGUGGGACUUGGUACCUGGUUAAGUGGAAGGAACUGAGUCCUUUUGAGAGCUCUUGUAACGUCUACUGGGAAUGUGCUUGUAUAGCCCAAAUUGAUAUUGAUUUCCAGAACAUUUCUAAAGCUCAAUGGUAGAGGGCAGGAGUAAGUGGGUGCAUUCUACAAAUGAACAUUUGCAGAGUAACUCCUGAACAACUAAUUCCUGGUCUGUAUUCUUUCUGUUAUGGUUAGGAAUAUGGUAUGUCUAAAGCUGCAUUCUCUCUGGAGGGUUGGGUAUUUUUGGUCUCGCAGCCACACUUCACCAUUGAAACGAUCACUCAAAAUAUUUAAAAAAAAAAAAAAAAAAAAAAGGCGCAAAACCCACCAUUGCCCUCCCACUACCUUUGCUUUAUAAUUUAUUUCAUCUAUACAAGUUUUAUCUGCAGAGGCAGUUACACUUCUAACCAUCUUCUUCUUCCCUAUCCACCAGCAACCUUUUCUCCUCUCCCCUCCUGCUGACCAGCAACUUUAGGGACUGAAGUGCUGUGAAAACCUUUGCAAUUCAUUGUAAAUGUAGUUGUGUGUUUGGGGGUGGAGGGGUCAGAGAGGACAGAGAGAAUAUUAGAUUAAUAUAUUUGCAGAUAAUAUGUAGGCUUUAAUACUGCUUAAUAAAGUACCCCUCACAAACCCAGAAAUAGAAGGGAGUUCAAAUAGCCCUUCAUUUUUAACAGAAAAUGGAACUUUCCUUCAAAAAAGAGUGGUGCUUAUUUUUUCCCAUUCAUUUCAAAUAGAAGUGGCGCUUGAGGUCCCCUUCUAUCUUUCAGGUUUUGGGAAGGUCAUUCCAUGUUUCGUCACUAGGGGACUGGAAACAGUAUUCCAUAGAUCUUUGUUACUUUGUUAUCUGACAAGGUGAGGAAGCAACGUUGGAGAAACAGAAAAAGAAUAAAAGCUUUCACAUAGAUUGUAUUCAAAAUUGGGUGAUUAUCCACUAAACUCCUGGCAUAGGCUACUGGGUAUGGACAGCACUAAUGAAAUAAAAUACUCUAAAUUCUCCCAACUCACUCUUAAUUUGUAAAAGAUAGUAAGACAUCCCUUGGAGAUCAAGGUGGAACACCUAACUGAGGAAGGGGAAGGAGUACUGCGGUUCUCCCUACAAAGUCCCAUGCUGCAAUGUCACAUCUUUACACCAUUUGUAAGUCAUUUUUUAGUGUAAAAGCUAAACUGGGAGUUGUUUUAGAUUCUCUAUUUAAUUUUUUAAAAUUUAUUACUGGGUGAGAAACUGCUCCUGAGAGGGCAACUAGGCUUCUGGGAAUGGGCUGAGGGGGAGAUACAACCUGUCCCAGGGGCCUGUUUUGGGGUGGUAAAUGGGAUGCUGUCUUCCCAGCAUCUCUUCUGCAGCCCCAGAAUGCUGGGCCUGGCACCUUCUGUAUAAAAGGGUAGAAUACUGAGUUGCAGCAGCUCUUGCUUCUCCCGUGCUUCAUCAGCUCAGCCAUGGGCUGGCUGGCUGGCUGUGUGCCAGGUACUAAAGCUGGUAGGGAUUUUCCACCAAAAUAUUUUUUUCAACGGAAAAUGCAAGUUUCUGCAGAAUCAAAGAUUUUUGCCUAGAUGCUUGUUUCUCUGAUGAAAAAUCAAAAUGCAAUAUUUCUCCAUUUGGGUCAGUCAGCUGAAUCCAAAUUGAAAUAUUUAGUUUUGGGUCAGUUCCAUAUUAAUCUGUGUCUGCAUCAGCUGCUGCAGUGCCUCCUGGGCAUUGUAGUUUGGGUGCUUCAGGCUCCCGUUCUUCUCCAUAGGCUAGGCAGGGAGCAUGGCCCAGCUCCCACGAUGCAUCAUCAACUCCCAUAGGUUGAACUGACACAAUGUAUCAUGAGAGUCAUAUGGUCAGCAUCAUGUGAAAUGUAGUCUGGCAAGGGAGCCCAGCCAUAGAGGAAAAUGGGAACAUGAGGCACUAUGGCAGCUCAUGGGGCUGUAGAUUAAUGUUAGACUGAGCCGAAGUGAAAUCCAUCAAUUUGGGAAUGUCUAAAUGAAACUUCAGUUAGAAAAUACAGAAUUUUCUGUCCACAAAAGAAUUUGAUGUUUCAAAUUUGGAACAAAAACAAAUUUCAAAAUAUUGGCAUUUUCUGCAAAAUUCUGACUUUCCAAAAGCUCUACCAGAUAUGCUGCAAGGGGACUUGCAUUGACUGCCAUGCAUCUCACGUGACACUCACACAUGCACAUUCCCACAGCCCAGGCUAAGGGCUUGUCUACGCAUGGAGUUAUUCAGGAAUAGCCACUGCUCUUUAAAUAUACACCUUACUAUAAUAUGAAUUAACUUUCAAAUGUAGACAAGUUCUAAAUGUCAUGCAACUGCAGCUUAAGACCUCCAGAAGCUUCUGUGGUGCCUUUUGGACCUGAGCAAAGAAGGAGCAGCCAAGAGUAGGCCAGCAACAGUGGCAGCAGGAAGUGGCAACAGUAGAGGCGGAAGAUCAUAACAAGGAAGAUCUCAAACCAAAUCUCCAUCUCCAAGCAUCCUGAGCUUUGAAAAUUUGGAUCCUGCUCUGAACUUUGGAAUUUGGGUCCAUUCUGGAGAGAUACUCUGAGCAAUACUAGAUCAGCUUAUCUACAGCCAUAAGGGGAAAGGGAACUGCAGUCGUCAUUUAGAAGUAUGAGGAUGCCCUAAAUAGACAUAAUGCCCACCCAGGUGGACAUCAAAAUCCUCAUUUGCUCGCUUUAACCAUGGACUACCUUGUUCUCAGAACAAAUACUCUCACCUAUUUGGAGUUAAGCCUAUGCUUAUUCUGCCCCAGGCGCUCUUGAAAAUUAAAAAACAAACCAUCAGUACCAAGGGAUAGGAUGAUGAUCAUAUUACUGGUUCUGGAUUAGCCCAGAAAACUCUGCAUUCUUUGAGACUUCUAACUCUGGGUUCUGUCCUUGUUCAGACCAAGUAGGCUAUGGACUAAGUGCAAAGAAAACCCCACCAACUUUUAAGUGUUACCCUUGAUUGACCCCUCAGCAAACCCUCCUCUCAACAUCUCCUGCACAAGGAUCCUAGUUGCCCCCAUAUUUUGCCUGUUCAAAUGACCAUGCUCAAAAAAGUCAUACAGGAGUGGAACAGGUGCCAACCACAAUGGUGCGUGAAUGUCUGGAAAUCCAUCAUUGCCCAUUGACUGUUUCUUCAGGGUUGACACUUAGAUAACGGAAACCUUCUAGCUAUAAUUUUGGAGGGUCUACUUAGAGACCAGGAUUGUGCUGCCUUGAGGGCCAGGCCUCUGUGGUCAAGGUUCCAAGAUAAUAUCGAUAAAUUGUCCAUAGGAUAGGAGCUCUUAUAGAGAGAGAUGGAUGCUUUGAAGGCUGCAACCAAGCUAAAACCAAGAUGGCUUUCUCUGGCCCUUCAGCCUGGCCCUUAUUGCUCUCAGAGCCCUCUCUUUGAGCUUUUAAAGAGAGGCUUUUUGAGAGCAGCCUGCCCUCAUAACAAUUUUCCUGGCUAGAAGACUGGAGGAAUUCCUGGCCAUCAGGAACUGAUACCUAGUCUUUCAGCAAGACAAAGUAGUGAUCAAGAUGAUACCUCAUUUUUCUUUGAUAAAUCCUUAUCUUAUGGCCUAGGAUGUCUCUUCUUUCUCCUCCUGCUUCUCCCUGCAAACCCUGAAGGAGCAGAAAGUAUAUAUUCUGGAUAUAAAAAAAGGGCCUUGUAUAUCUAGCUGAAAGGCCUCUAGAUUAUGGGAAAUGGUGUAAUCUAUUUGUCCUCUACAGCUGAGCUGAGACAGAGGCUAAAACCUCCAUGGCCUACUGAGUUCUGGAGUGCUCAGAGCAAAGAAGUUCCCACUACCACUGGAGCACAUAUCUCCCAAUGAAGUAGAUGGUGUAAGCUGUUGAAGAUAAGGGGGCUUGCUGACUUUCCAUUGGAUAUAAGUGCUGAGAGUCAUUCCCAGCAAGGAGGAAAACAAACUCAGAUAAGUCUGAGUGGGGACAGAGGGACCCACCUGGAACACCGUCCAAAGCCUGAGCAUAGGGAAAGUCCCAUACUUUAUAGGAUGCUGGCAGUGGAUAGUUGGGGUAUGGGGAAAGUCCAAGGAAGGUGUCCAGGAAAGAGAAGAAUUGGAGACAUCUUCUUCACAAACACAAGCAUAUCCGAUGGCCCCAGCUUAGAGGUUUGUUUAGGCCUUAGGCCAUCCCACCAGUGUUGCAGAAGGAUUUUAAUGGACUUCAAGUGUGUGGGAAUCUGGACCCACCUGCUAGAACUUCCCUUCCUACUUCCAAUCCCACUAGUCCUUCUCACUAUGGGCUUGUCUACUCCCAUUGGUACUGCUUUAACUAUGGUGGUUUGAAACUGGCAUAGCUGAAGUGGUACAAUCUCUCAUGUGGAUGCAGUUAUACUUGUAUUAAGGUGCUUUAUCCUGGAAUAGUUUAUUCCCAUAAAGUUUGUAGGGAUAAGCUAUACGGGUAUAAGCACCUUUAUACCACUGUAAGAGCGUCCACACUCGGGGUUGUACCACUUCAACUAUUUUGGUUUAAAAAAAUGCAUCCCUAAGGGCAUGUCUACACUACGAAAUUAGGUUGA